CAAUAGCGUAUAUUUAAGUUGUUGCAGUUAAAAAGCUCGUAGUUGGAUUUCGGGUAGGAUUUGCCGGUCCGUCUUUGAGAUGUGUACUGGUAAGUCCUAUCUUCUUGUCGGGGACCAGCUCCUGGGCUUCACUGUCCGGGACUGGGAGCCGACGAAGUUACUUUGAGUAAAUUAGAGUGUUCAAAGCAAGCCUACGCUCUGAAUAUAUUAGCAUGGAAUAACACGAUAGGACUCUGGCUUAUCUUGUUGGUCUGUGAGACCAGAGUAAUGAUUAAGAGGGACAGUCGGGGACAUUCGUAUUUCAUUGUCAGAGGUGAAAUUCUUGGAUUUAUGAAAGUCUAACUACUGCGAAAGCAUUUACCAAGGAUGUUUUCAUUAA
Molecule: ribosomal RNA, 379 nt
Filed under: uncultured eukaryote
Lineage: Eukaryota
Description: partial 18S ribosomal RNA
Rfam family: Eukaryotic small subunit ribosomal RNA
Source: RNAcentral